This 428-nucleotide ribosomal RNA is filed under the name uncultured bacterium. RNAcentral's name for it is "partial 16S ribosomal RNA". It matches the Rfam family "Bacterial small subunit ribosomal RNA", at positions 354 to 796 of the family's 1533-position model. The record is from RNAcentral.
GUGGGGAAUAUUGGGCAAUGGGCGCAAGCCUGACCCAGCAACGCCGCGUGAAGGAAGAAGGCUUUCGGGUUGUAAACUUCUUUUACCAGGGACGAAACAAAUGACGGUACCUGGUGAAUAAGCCACGGCUAACUACGUGCCAGCAGCCGCGGUAAUACGUAGGUGGCGAGCGUUAUCCGGAUUUAUUGGGUGUAAAGGGCGUGUAGGCGGGACAGCAAGUCAGAUGUGAAAACCAGAGGCUCAACCUCUGGCCUGCAUUUGAAACUGUUGUUCUUGAGUGUCGGAGAGGUAAUCGGAAUUCCGUGUGUAGCGGUGAAAUGCGUAGAUAUACGGAGGAACACCAGUGGCGAAGGCGGAUUACUGGACGAUAAUUGACGCUGAGGCGCGAAAGCGUGGGGAGCAAACAGGAUUAGAUACCCCAGUAGUCC